RNAcentral lists this long non-coding RNA (1061 nucleotides) under Ananas comosus (pineapple). Its description in RNAcentral is "long non-coding RNA (ACOM_LNC033238)". The record is from RNAcentral. Lineage: Eukaryota; Viridiplantae; Streptophyta; Magnoliopsida; Poales; Bromeliaceae.
ACUAUAAUAAUAUGGGUAGUAUAGAUGAUCUAGUGUUUUUAAUUUUUAAAAUUUUAGUUUAACUUUUUUUUUAGGAAAACCUCAAAAAAUCUUCAUGUGGUUUUGCAUUUUUUCAUUUUAGUGCCCCGUGGUUUAAAGUGUAUCAAGUUAGUAUUCUGUGAUUUUAUUUUUGUAUCAAGUUAGUACCCUGUGGUUUUAUUUUUGUAUCAAGUCAGUACCCCUGGUUUUAUUUUUCUCUUAAUAAAAUAUUAAACCACAUGGUAUUAAAGUGAGAAAGUGCGAAACCGCAGGGUACUAACUUGAUACAUUUUAAACUACAGGAUACUAAAGUGAGAAAGUGCGAAAACACAGAGACUAACUUGAUACACUUUAAACCAUAGGGUACUAAAUUGAGAAAAAGUGAAACCACAAGGGAGGUAUUUGAAGUUUUCACUUUUUUAUUUUUUUAAUUUUUGAAUUAAUUAAUAUUAUUAUCGUGUACAAACCACUUAAUCCUAAAGGAACAACUCAAUUCUGGGGGGUCGUAAUCAUUCUAAUUAUUCAAUCAUUGAUCAAAGAGCCAAAAAGUCAGAAGAACUAAGUCCUCUAUACUUCUGAUAGCACAGUAGUAGCGCUAUGCAUAAAUUGUUUAUUAAAAAAAUUGCAUCUAUAAGUGCUUGAUAUGUGAAAAAAAAAUAGUUUUGUAUUAAAAUUUGUUUAGCUGAAAGAAACAAAAAUACAUUUGUUUGGUUCGGUGGAAAAAAAUGAAUAAAAAAAUUUUACGCAGCUUGAGUUCUCAUUUUUCGUCAAAAAAUAGCAAAAACAAAAACUUGAAAUUUUUCCAAAUUCAUAAAAAUAUUUUUAUUUUUCCAUCAAACCAAAAUUUUUUUUUUUUAUAUUGAAAAUAAUUUUUCCAUUCAUUUUACACCGAAUCAAAUGCCUUCUAAACUUAAAAAGUAAUUUAAUCAAUCAAUCGAGAAAUAUGUUAUAAAUAAGUAAAAAUGUAAAGAAUUUAUCUAAAUUAUGGAUAUCGUCCCCUAGUUAGUUUGGUGACGAUGCAGGGCUCUAUUUCUCUUUCUCUG